This 393-nucleotide long non-coding RNA is filed under the name Amphimedon queenslandica. RNAcentral describes it as "uncharacterized LOC109592219, transcript variant X1". Lineage: Eukaryota; Metazoa; Porifera; Demospongiae; Haplosclerida; Niphatidae. The record is from RNAcentral.
AAUUUCAUAAUGGAUGUUUUUUAUCUAUGUAGCUAAUCGAUGUAGCUAUUCAAGUGAUGGUAGCUACGAUUUUCUAAGACUUCACCUCAUCACGUGAUCCUCACCCCGCCUAUAGUAGGCGUGUUAACCAGUAGAGAUGGCGAUAAAGCAGAGCUACUAGCCUUGAGUGUGUUUAAGCUUCAUGCAUGUCAGUGUUCUUGGUGGAGAUCAAGAGCUCAUCAAAUCCAAGGAGUCUUUCCAAUCUUAUUAUUGAUAGGACCAAACAAGAGGGAUCUGAUACUGAGGACCAAACAAGGAGGAUCAGAUAGCCCCAGGCUCAAGGAAUGGCUCAGAGAGACUCGAUAAAGAAAAAGGCAUCGUAUAACUGGUCACUCUUUUUUUACCAUUAGCAAU